AACGAACGCUGGCGGCAUGCUUAACACAUGCAAGUCGAACGUGAUCCCUGCCUUCGGGUGGGGUGAAAGUGGCGGACGGGUGAGUAACGCGUGGGAACCUGCCUGGUGGUUGGGGAUAACUGCGGGAAACUGCGGCUAAUACCCGAUGCGCCCCUGGAGUGAGUCCGGGGGAAAGAUUCAUCGCCAUUGGAGGGGCCCGCGUCGGAUUAGGUAGUUGGUGGGGUAACGGCCUACCAAGCCUUCGAUCCGUAGCUGGUCUGAGA
This 263-nucleotide ribosomal RNA is filed under the name uncultured bacterium. RNAcentral describes it as "partial 16S ribosomal RNA". It matches the Rfam family "Bacterial small subunit ribosomal RNA", at positions 29 to 297 of the family's 1533-position model. The record is from RNAcentral.